Magallana angulata is the source of this 310-nucleotide long non-coding RNA. RefSeq lists it as uncharacterized. NCBI's taxonomy places the organism in Eukaryota, Metazoa, Mollusca, Bivalvia, Ostreida, Ostreidae. The transcript is spliced from 3 exons. The record is from RefSeq and is a predicted model, not a curated record.
UUAUAUUGCACGGGUUUUUUGGAUCACUCGCCGCCCAACCUCAGAUCUGCACAGUCGUGCACUGUUUUUCUAGUCUGUCAACAAUUUUUUUACAGGAAGUACGUGUGAUCUGGGGAUACCAAUGGUACGAGCAGCUUUAUCAACAGCGGUCUCUAUACGUGCACUUGUGAACACUUUCUGAACGUUGUCAAUCUCCAAAUUACACAUUUUGUCAAUGUGGGACUUGAAAACCGUGUACCUCUUUCAACAACAAAGCUUUUCAUCUCCCACAAUGCUGAUAGAAUAUUCUUUGAUAAAGAGUCCAAGGAUG